This 71-nucleotide transfer RNA is filed under the name Gimesia fumaroli. Its description in RNAcentral is "Planctomycetes bacterium Enr17 tRNA-Lys". The stretch from base 10 to 65 matches the Rfam family "tRNA", at positions 7 to 64 of the family's 71-position model. Rfam says of the family: Transfer RNA (tRNA) molecules are approximately 80 nucleotides in length. Their secondary structure includes four short double-helical elements and three loops (D, anti-codon, and T loops). Further hydrogen bonds mediate the characteristic L-shaped molecular structure. tRNAs have two regions of fundamental functional importance: the anti-codon, which is responsible for specific mRNA codon recognition, and the 3' end, to which the tRNAs corresponding amino acid is attached (by aminoacyl-tRNA synthetases). tRNAs cope with the degeneracy of the genetic code in two manners: having more than one tRNA (with a specific anti-codon) for a particular amino acid; and 'wobble' base-pairing, i.e. permitting non-standard base-pairing at the 3rd anti-codon position. Lineage: Bacteria; Pseudomonadati; Planctomycetota; Planctomycetia; Planctomycetales; Planctomycetaceae. The record is from RNAcentral.
UUCCAGUUAGAAAACGAAUAUGUUCGCUGACUCUUAAUCAGUAGGUUCUAGGUUCGAUUCCUAGCGGGGGC